RNAcentral lists this long non-coding RNA (1633 nucleotides) under Homo sapiens (human). RNAcentral describes it as "non-protein coding lnc-TMCC1-9:1". The record is from RNAcentral. Lineage: Eukaryota; Metazoa; Chordata; Mammalia; Primates; Hominidae.
CGGGGGUCGGGGGCUGGGCCUCAAUGCCUCCACUGGAGUAAGGGCAGGGAGCGCAGAGGGCAUUUCAGAAGUGGCUGUGGCCUCUUGCUGGCCUGCAAAUUCGUCAUGCAUUUUCCCAGAGUUUGAGGAGCGGGGGCAGGAGAGCACCCUCUGGAUGGAGAGGAGAUUGGACUUCAGGGUCCGGGAAGCCGUCUUCGUCCAUGGGACUUGAGGGGCCUCAUCGCUGAACUGUUCUGUGGGGGCCGUGGGGAGUUGGGGAUUGUGUGCAAGCAGCUGGCUUUGCUGGGACUAGGCUCAGCUUUGACCGCUGGGCUAACCUCCUCCCCAUCCUGCCUCCUUAUAGAAAUACCAGAAUGAGUUCAACACCAAUGUGGCCAUGGCAGAGAUUUAUAAGUACGCCAAGAGGUAUCGGCCGCAGAUCAUGGCCGCGCUGGAGGCCAACCCCACGGCCCGGAGGACACAACUGCAGCACAAGUUUGAGCAGGUGGUGGCUUUGAUGGAGGACAACAUCUACGAGUGCUACAGUGAGGCCUGAGACACAUGGAGAGUUGGUCAGGCUGCUGCUGGGAGAAAUGGACGCCCACUGGGCCUCAACUUGAUCUUCUACCCCGUGCCUGUGACUCAGACUGGGAAAUACUGAGCAGAGACGGCUGGGGCGGGGGCAGGAGGAGGGGCUGCUCUCUGAGACAGGGGCGCCCCCGCCUUGACCCCUGGGCACCUCCAUCCCCUCCCACCUGUCCCCAGAUCAGUCUCUGGGAUGGAGGCCAGAGAGCUGGUCAGGCUCCCCCAUCUGCCCAGCACGGCCUGCACUGUGCCCACCCACUUGCUCCACAACGUCCAGUUGGUCCUGCUGCCAAGAGCCCCGUGCAUCCAGGCGGCCAAGCACAAACUGGGGGAGAGGAGGCCGCCAGCCCGGAGGCUGCAGCCCAGAAACUCUACCUCAUCCACACUGGUGCAGGGAGCCCUCCUUGAACUGACCUUUGAUUGGUUUCUGCUUCAACUACCAAAAUGUUAUCUCCACUUCCCCCUCACCCGUAGAGGAUCCUGGCCACAGACAGUUUCAAGUAGUGUCAGAUUUUUGUUGCUUGGGCGGCUGUUGGUAGAGUGGGCAGUGCCCGCGCCAUGGGGUGCUCUGUGGGCUUCUCCAGGAGCAGGGAGGGUGGAGGGGAGGGAUGGGGGGCACAGGAGCUGGGAGCCCCGUCUCCAGGAAAAGGAGAGGGGUUAAGAUGCACCGAGGCUGUAGCUGGGCUACUUGAUCUUGCUGAAAGUGUUUCUAAAGAUAGCACCACUUUUUUUUUUAAAGCUUUUAUAUAUUAAAAAACGUAUCAUGCACCAACUGUGAAUAGCUGCCGCUUGCGCAGAGGACCCGGGGAGGGGUCCCGAGAGGCUCCCCAUGCAACACUGGAAAUGACUGUUCCAGAGAGCGGGCAGACCUGGCAGAGCGCCCCUGGCGCCUGAGACUACCACCCACUCCGUUCCUGCCAGAAACGACCCUCUGUGGCCGAUGGGCCAUGCGGGCCCCUCGCAGCCAACUCAGCCAGUGUUGGGACUGGCUCAGAGCCCAUGGGGGCUGGAGGGGGGCAGCUGGGACUCUGGAAUCUUCUUUAUAAUAAAAGCCUUACGGACAAACCUA